This 488-nucleotide ribosomal RNA is filed under the name uncultured bacterium. RNAcentral describes it as "bacterial SSU rRNA". It matches the Rfam family "Bacterial small subunit ribosomal RNA", at positions 32 to 506 of the family's 1533-position model. The record is from RNAcentral.
AAUCAACGCUGGCGGCGUGCCUCAGACAUGCAAGUCGAACGAUUAAACUUUCCUUCGGGAAAGAUAUAAAGUGGCGCACGGGUGAGUAACACGUAGGUAAUCUACCUUUGAGUGGGGAAUAACGUUCGGAAACGAACGCUAAUACCGCAUAAUGCAGCGGCACCGCAAGGUGACAGUUGUUAAAGGAGCAAUUCGCUUAAAGAGGAGCCUGCGGCAGAUUAGCUAGUUGGUAAGGUAAGGCUUACCAAGGCUACGAUCUGUAACCGACCUGAGAGGGUGGUCGGUCACACUGACACUGAAUAACGGGUCAGACUCCUACGGGAGGCAGCAGUCGGGAAUUUUGGGCAAUGGGCGAAAGCCUGACCCAGCAACGCCGCGUGAAGGAUGAAGUCUUUCGGGAUGUAAACCUCACAAGCAAGGGAAGAGAGCUAUGGGCUGAAUAAUCCCGUAGUGCGACGGUACCUUGCGUAAGCCACGGCUAACUACGU